ACAUUGUUUGUAGGCUCAGAUGCUGAUGACAUGGAGCACGACGAAUUGGAAGACUCAAGUCAAAAUACCUAUGUCGACCAUGAUCCAUUGGACUAUGUCUACUCAAACCUCCCAGACCACACACACAUCCUGAAGCACACCGCAAAUUGCAAUCAGUGCAAGGCCAAGAAGUUUGUGUCCGAGGCCCCGGGAUUCUGCUGCCGCAGUGGGCAGAUCCAACUAAAGCAACCGGAGCCCAUCCCGGAGCUAAUGAGGCUUUGGUCUAGCAUGGAUGCGGACUCAAGGCAUUUUCGGGAGAACAUACAGUUCUUCAAUGGCCACUUCUCCUUCACAACCCUCGGAGUCAGCCUUGAUGAAAGCUACACAAACGUGAAGUCUGGGGUGUACACGUUCCGGGCGCAUGGCACCAUCUACCACAAAGUUCAUUCCUUCGGGCCAACGUCACGUCCAGAUCAUCUACAGUUGUACUUCUACGACGACGACCCAGGCCUAACCCAUCGCAAGGCUGCCACCGAGCAAUUAGACCAGGAUGUCGUCACAAAGUUAGUGGACAUACUCAGGGAGAACCCGUACUCCUAA
This 579-nucleotide ribosomal RNA is filed under the name Triticum aestivum (bread wheat). RNAcentral describes it as "partial small subunit ribosomal RNA". Lineage: Eukaryota; Viridiplantae; Streptophyta; Magnoliopsida; Poales; Poaceae. The record is from RNAcentral.